GCAACCAUCGCUGCGCAUUUCCGUUUCGCCAUCUUUUUAUCUUGGAAGCGUGCAGUUUCGCGUCUUCUCUUCUAUCGUGAAGUUUUACGGAACAUUGACUUGGUUCUCGCACGAGCCGCAAAAUGCCGGGUUUUAGCAGUGUUGGCACAUUUAAGAUCUUCAUUGGUAAUUUAGCUGACAAAACUUCGAACGCUGACAUCAAGCCAUUGUUUGAGAAAUAUGGCAAAGUCGUGGAAUGCGACGUGGUAAAGAAUUAUGGCUUUGUGCAUAUGGAAAAUGAGGAAGCAGGUCGGAACGCUAUACAGAAUUUGAAUGGUCAUAUGGUUCAUGGGCAACCAAUAAAAUGUGAGGCAGCGAAGAGUCGCAAGGGACCUAACACUCCCACGACGAAAAUCUUCGUUGGUAAUCUCACAGACAACACGAAGGCACCGCAAGUGCGCGAGUUGUUUGCCAAGUAUGGUACGGUCGUUGAGUGCGACAUUGUUAGAAACUACGGUUUCGUUCAUCUGGAAGCAACGGGGGACGUGAAUGAUGCUAUCAAGGAGCUGAAUGGACAAAUCGUCGAUGGACAGCCGAUGAAGGUCCAGAUUUCUACCAGUAGGGUGAGGCAGAGGCCAGGGAUGGGAGAUCCGGAACAAUGCUACCGAUGCGGACGAGGCGGUCACUGGUCCAAGGAGUGUCCCAAGGGUGGAAUGGGAGGUGGACCGGAUAGGAACGGAUAUAGAGACCGAAUGUUUGGACGUGAUCCCUAUCCUCCACCACCGCCACCACCUUUCCUUCGGGACCGGCUCAUGGGUGGUGGCCGCUUCGGGGACUACGAAAGCUACUACGACAGGCGAGGCUUCGAGGACACCAGGGAUCUCUACGAGAGGCGGUUUACGGGUAUGACAGGGCCCUGUGACAUGGGAAGUUCCAUGUGCGGGCUAGACUUUCCACCAAUGACAAUGCCACCCCCAAGACGAGACCCAAUGCCUCCUAUGCCUCCUCUAGGUAUGGGAUCCAUGCGCGACACUGGCUUCUCCCGUGGUAACGAGUAUGGAAUGUUCAGCCGCCGAUCCCCCCCUCCUAGUGGCAACAACGGCCGGUUCAGUGCACCUCAGGCGUACCAUCUUUGUCCAUGAACGCGGGCAACCCUAGAGAGACAGUCCCGGGUCAGCGUUCAAGUCGUACAAGAACCGGGAUUACGAGGGCCAUCGCCGGCGCGCCGGUUCGCACCGUACUAAAUCGUCGCGUCGGGCUCGGAUCGGUCUCUGUCGGUCGUCGGUCCGUCGGGUCUGUCUGUCGCUAGCAGGAAGCCUCGGAACCGAGAUACUCUUGGCCGUCUUGCGAACUGCACGCGCGAAGAUCUGCCGCCCGCUCUAUGAGAACAAGUGCUACCCGCAGUGCGAUCUGUUUAGACGAAAAAAAACGGAUACAAAAGUAGAGCAAAACACACAGACGAAAUACAGCCAGCCAAAAGUAGCAGAGACACGCAAAAAAGAAAAAAAAAACAGAACUUCUGAGAAUUAUCACCUGUCGCACGACGAAUCCCUCUUCAUGGACUCCCAUUUAUCGAUCCUAUCGUACCUUACGUUACCCGGUCUCAUUGCAUUCGCCCGCACCCCUCUGUGUCAUAUAUUUGUAUAAAAUCAAAGUUAGAGUAUCCUCGACAUUAAGAAUUCGAUGGGGCUCCACCGCGACGACUCCUCGAUCCUUCGAUCAACAAUUUUUUUCAACAGACAUUUUUUAACGAAAAAUUUUCCCAUCGUCCUUUUGAAGGCUUCGAACCUUGUAACGUCAAUUUGCGUGAUUGAUUUGUCGCAAAUUCCGAAAAUGCGGGAUCGACGAGCGUUUCGAUGGGGCCGGUAUUUUGCGGCGACGCGAAAGCAACCAAUAUUUUCAAAUACGUAUUUUCUGUAACAAUUGUCGUAUCAUCCCUGGCCUUCUCUCCGUUGCGCAACAAUCGAUAGACUCGUGUCGCGCGCGUACGCGUCGCACACCGCCGAGUGUUUCUGGAUGAAUAACAAACGAUGAGUACGGCGUAAUUCAACACUCCGCUUGUUUGUGUGAUAUCGCCGCGCACGAUUGCGUCGCACGUGAACACGAUCUCCGCGCCGCUAGACCAAAUACAUUCAGAUCGAAAAAAAAAUAAGUAGCGCUCGCCGAAUUCCCGUCGAUCUUAUAUCUUAUUUAUAUGUCAUAUGAGUGUAAGACCUUCCAUCGCAAUAGCGCAAUACUUUGAUUAACGAUCUAAAUGUUGCAAACAAAAUGCGGAUAAAUUGUACUAGGGACUAUUUGUACUUCGUCGUCACGCAUCUUGAUCGUAACUCUUUUUCUCUUAUUUUAUUAAUCAAGUAGAUCUAUUAGCGGGAAUCGCGGAUUCUAAAAACUUGUGAAAGGGAGGAACCCUCCGAGCGAGUAACUUGAUACUUUCGAAAAAUCAAGCGGGAGCAGGCCUCGUCCUCCGAGACGGUCAAAUCUAUGUCGCUCCGACAACAAAUAUUCCAUUAUUUUUAACGAAUAAUUUUGUAUAGAGACGCAAAUUAGAUAUCUUAAGUUUUUAACAUACUCGCGAGGGAAUAUCGAAAAGUUGUAAGUCGUGCUUUAAACAAAACAUUUGAGAUUUUCCCCCUCCCCAAAUGGGGCGGUAAGCGUGUAGAUUCGACCAUUUAGAAAAUCUGUUUCCAUAUUUGCUGUUUCAAAACUGAAGUUGAAAAAGAUGAUAAUUAAAAACUUGGACCCGCCGUAGGAUGCGCCGAUUCUGUAUGGAAAAACCUAAGCUGAACAUUAUCGUUAGCAUAUAGUAACGUAAUCAUUUUAUUAACGUAGGAUUAACUCUGACAUAAAGAAAAAGACGGUGUUGUAGUUUGUAAUAAUCGCACUUUCGUUAUUAUUUUUUUUCUU
This is a non-coding RNA of Linepithema humile (Argentine ant), 2883 nucleotides long. Lineage: Eukaryota; Metazoa; Arthropoda; Insecta; Hymenoptera; Formicidae. The record is from RefSeq and is a predicted model, not a curated record.